Molecule: ribosomal RNA, 520 nt
Filed under: uncultured Archaeospora
Lineage: Eukaryota; Fungi; Glomeromycota; Glomeromycetes; Archaeosporales; Archaeosporaceae
Description: SSU rRNA
Rfam family: Eukaryotic small subunit ribosomal RNA
Source: RNAcentral
AGCAGCCGCGGUAAUUCCAGCUCCAAUAGCGUAUAUUAAAGUUGUUGCAGUUAAAAGCUCGUAGUUGAAUUUUAGGCUUGGCCAGGCGGUCCGUCUUUGGCGAGUACUGUUCUGUGUCGGGUCUUUCUUUCUGGUUAACCGGUGUGCUCUUUAUUGAGCGUGCCGUGGAGCCAGGACCAUUACCUUGAAAAAUUAGAGUGUUAAAGCGGGCUAUUGCUUGAAUAGAUUAGCAUGGAAUAAUAGAAUAGGACGUUGUGGUUCUAUUUUGUUGGUUUCUAGGACCACCGUAAUGAUUAAUAGGGAUAGUUGGGGGCAUUAGUAUUCAAUUGUCAGAGGUGAAAUUCUUGGAUUUUAUUGAAGACUAACUAUUGCGAAAGCAUUUGCCAGGAUGUUUUCAUUAAUCAAGAACGAAAGUUAGGGGAUCGAAGACGAUCAGAUACCGUCGUAGUCUUAACCAUAAACUAUGCCGACUAGGAAUCGGGCGUCGUUAUUUUUCACGACUCGCUCGGGCGCCUUAUGG